This 250-nucleotide ribosomal RNA is filed under the name uncultured bacterium. RNAcentral describes it as "partial 16S ribosomal RNA". It matches the Rfam family "Bacterial small subunit ribosomal RNA", at positions 29 to 262 of the family's 1533-position model. The record is from RNAcentral.
AACGAACGCUGGCGGCGUGCCUAAUACAUGCAAGUCGAACGAGAAAGCGGGGCAACUCGUGAGUAAAGUGGCAGACGGGUGAGUAAUACAUAGGUAAUCUUCCCUCAGAAUGGGGAUAACCUUCCGAAAGGAGGGCUAAUACCGAAUAAGACCACAGUAACAAAAGUUACAGGGGUUAAACGUGGCCUCUAUUUAUAAGCUACGGACUGAGGAUGAGCUUAUGCACCAUCAGCUAGUUGGUAGGGUAACG